Molecule: long non-coding RNA, 1062 nt
Organism: Empidonax traillii (willow flycatcher)
Lineage: Eukaryota; Metazoa; Chordata; Aves; Passeriformes; Tyrannidae
Exons: 4
Source: RefSeq, a predicted model, not a curated record
GUUUGACAUUGGAUUCCUUCCCACUGUGGAGGACAAUGACAUGUACUCGGUCCAAUACACUCCCCACCAUUCUUACAUUCCUGAAGACAGAUCGCUGCACAAACAUCAUCACAAAGUUUGGUUAAAUUCCAAGUGAUUACUUUGACUUAUGACUCAGAUUUCAGGAUGUCCAUGAGAGGUUGAGUGCUUUUCAUACACAAGGGUCACAUCAUCUUCACUGAAAUAUCUAUCUAAGAUCAACAGGAUAUUAAAGAAGAGAGGCAACUGGAAACAAAAAGCCCUAUGGCCAAGAUGUUCUGCAGCAUCACAGGUUGCUACAAAAGCCUGAAGUACGCUAAAUAGCUUUGGUUUUUUCCAAAUUUACCUUUCUAAACCCCACAACUUGGUGAGAGAUCUUUUGUCUGUCAUGCAACUGAACACAUGGUGAAUCAACUCAUGAACAUUUGAUCCAAAGUUAUUUUCUGUGGCCCAUUUUUCUGCACAUUUGUCCAUGCUUAUUAAACCAUAAUCUAACCCACUAUUAUUUCCAUUCAUUAGAUGCCUAUUCGAUAAUCAAAUCUCUCUUCCACAGUGUCCAAGAAUAUCUCAUCCCUGUUAAUACUGGUAAUGUUUUUUUCAACAAAAAAAAACCUUUACAGAAAGUAAUACAGGGAAAAUUGUUUUUCCUCUGUGCCAUUAGAGAGCUCAUUGCCCACAUCAGUUCCUGAGCCUCGGGCAUUUAAGUUCAGUUAUUUGUAGUACCUCUGCAAGUGAAGCCAUCUCCAUAAUAACCGUAAGGACAAUGACCACACUUAAUGCUUCCAUCCUGAUUUGGCUCACAGCGUACACCAGGAAAACAGGAUGAUACAGCAUGGCUUUCUGAAGAUGCAGUCAUCACAGCAUGUACUGAAGAACCCACUUCCAUGUCAGCAAGGUGACCACUGAUGAGAGUGUGAGCAAUGUUUCCAGUAACAGCAGAUUAUUUGGGCAUGGACCACAAUGGUAAGAACCAAAAGUAUUGAAGCAAAAUACUCCAGGGAAGCAAGGACUGGAUGCACAUUCAUCUACAUCCUCUUGACAAUG